Molecule: non-coding RNA, 582 nt
Organism: Odocoileus virginianus texanus
Lineage: Eukaryota; Metazoa; Chordata; Mammalia; Artiodactyla; Cervidae
Source: RefSeq, a predicted model, not a curated record
GGUAGAAAAGAAACAUAUUUGAGCAUGUUAGAAAAAGAAACGAAAACCAAUUCAACACAUAAAAAUAAACGUGCUUACAGUUGAUUCCAUGAAAUUCCAAAGAAUAACUGUCAUCAACUAUCAUUCUAAGAAGAAAAGGACAUGUGUACAUUAUGAACUGGCUAUACAGUGGUUACUGUUCAGGUUGUUCAGUUAGAAACAUGGAGAAAUAACUGCACAUGAUUUUCUAGAACCUCCAUUACCUUCCGGUUUAUCAGUGCAGCUUGUGGGAUGUUACUUCCCCGAUCAGGGACUGAACCCGGGCCCAGCAGUAAACAGCAAGCCCUAACAACCGAACAGACAGAGAUUUUCCAUCAGAGUUAUAUUUUAUUUGGUGGCAGUUUUUAGGACUUCAAACCCAGGAGAGAGCAUCUUAAGUAACCCUGAAAGAACUGUUCCGUGGAGGCAGAGGGGGAGAAGCCAAGCUAUAAAAAAGUUUGCAACAAGCGGCAGGUAGUCUAAACAUCAAAAAUUAUUGUUAAUUAAGGAAAACCAGUUACCUCAAGUUAAAGAAUUUAGUGCUUUUCUUUGUAUGGGAAGAUG